UCCCCAUCAGAGCAGAUAGUCGACAUAAAAAAGCUCCUGUUGUUUAAGGGUUGAUAAUGCUUUAUGUAUUUUUAUGUUUAUUUACAGUAAAAGAUAUUGCCCACAUUGCUUUUCUUUGCAUUCUCAAGGAUUAGGCAUAGCAUUUACACCAAAUUAAUAAGUUAAAAUUAACUUGAUACUUAUAAAACUUGUUGUCAUUGUGUAGCAAAGAAAUAUUUCACAAUAAAAGUACCAAGACCAUUAAUUUUCAGGUAUACUAGGGGAGGCAAAUCAUUCAUCUCCAUUUCUUAACCUCGUCGUCUUCAGUGACUGCGAGAGGGUUUUCUGAAGUGACGGUUGUUCCUGUAGCUACUGCAGGGCCUUGCUAUAUUCCCUGCAACACUAUCAUGCCCUUUAUGAUCCUCCUCUUCUUUAUGUGCACUGUUGUUGCUAUAAGUCAGAUGCCACUCCUCAUGAUUGUGCUAAGAUCAGUGGAUGAAGAGGAGAGGUCAUUUGCCCUGGGUGUACAGUUUGUGAUCUUCCGUCUGAUUGCUUACAUCCCAGCACCCAUCAUGUUUGGGUCUGUAAUUGACUCCGAUGUCUCCUAUGGAAGAGUUCGUGUGGAGAAAAAGGAGGACGCUGUCUCAUAUAUGAUAUUGAAGAGUUUAGAUUCAGAUAUGUGGGAAUCUGCACUGCUAUUAAGAUAAUCUCAGCUGCAAUAUUUGUAUUUGACUGGCUCUUGAUUCGCUGGAAGUACAAGCUUGACAUGGAGGGAACCAUGACAGUGGGAGACAUUGUCAAUUCUCUUAUGUCUGUUGAUAAAGAUGUAGAUGAACCCUCUGAUGAGUUAGAAGAGAGUGUUUGGCUCCCAGGCUCCAGGGGUCUCAGCAGGUGCCACCAUCGGGAACUUCUCAGUCUACCUCAGCCACUGGUGUGACACCCACCAUAACCACAGCUCACCAUCACUAUCAUCACAGGCGUAAUGGAUCGCUCAUCAAUCGGCCACCAUUACCUUCUCAUGGCUCCUGGCACAAGAGAUCUCAGUCAGGAUCAUACAUACCUUCUCGGCCAUGGGCAGGUUUGUAUCAACACCGGCUCCUCCCAGCUCAGGUUACCAACAUAUUCCUGGGCCACCUGGGCUACCACCACCAGGGAUUCUUGCCACACAACCGGGUCCAGCGCCGAGCCAGCUCAGGGCAGCAGGUUACUUUCCGUGGUUUGGCUGAAGACCCAAGUGACUUGACAGGAGUUAGAGUUGUUGUCCAUGGCCAUGUAAGUCUUGCUGAUGAAGAGGAUGUGGCAAUCAAAGUCUAAGGAGAAAAUAUUACUAUUUUAUUAUUUUCAUCUGUAUUUAUGAAUAUGCUUUUAUCCUGAUGGACUUAUAUAAAUAUAUACAGAUGAAAACUUAUUAAUACUAUUUUAAAAGAAGUCUUUGAUAAUGAUGAUUGAUAAAAGAAGUAUGAAUGUCAAGUAAUUUGAAUAAUAAAUGCUGUAGCCAUAUUUGUCAUUCUUUAAUGCUUAAAGAGGGAUUGUUAUGACACUCCUGCUCUUUGCCUCGCUAGGGGGACAGUGUGCCAUCAUAUUGUGUUAAUAGCUACAAAAUCUAUGGGAUAUAGAACAGAUUUGUUGCAGGCUUAAUAUCAGAUUGUAUUUCAUGAAAAAAAAACGUAUACUGUAUUACUUGCUUGCAUUGUUUUUCAUAUUGUUAGAUUAAUGUUUACAAAACAUGAUAUAAAAUUUUAGGGACAAUAACUCAAAAUAGAAUUGAAUGAAGCUUGCAGCUUAUAGAAAACACAAGUGUUUUACACAUGUGAUAGUUUACUUUCUAAACGAGUAUUUUAGAAGUGAUACAGUCAAAUUUGUCCUCAUUCCAAGCUUUUGUUUGGAAAUAUACAAACAAGGUUGUUUUAUGUAUAUAGAAAAAUAUUUAGAAUCUAGUUGUAUAUGAAAACUAAGUGCCUAAAAGUAGCAUGCCACUGGUACCAUUUCUGCUGAAUCAUUCUUGUGCUCAACUAAGCUUCAGUCAAAGUGAAUGCUGGGGUACUUGUGGUAGAUCAAGGAGUGUGCACAUGCAGGAUCCUUUCUCCUAAUUUUACUCUAAAUCAUCUUUAUAAAUUAAAUUUAUAUUGAAAAUUUCUUCAAAUUACAUAGUUAUUUUCAGCUCAAGUUUUAAGAAGUACAGUACAUGUACUGUAUCAAAAUAUUUCACAUAUGAAAAUUUGCAUGAUUAAAAACAAUCUAUACUUGUUCAUUUUACCAAGAAAUAUUGGAUUAUUAUUGCAUGUGUUAAGCCUCCUUACUGUUACCCAGUUACAGUAAUGGAUAAUAACAUUUAAAAAAUAAAUUUUAAUACUGUACGGCUGAGCAGGCAACAAUUUCUUGCUUCUGUUAACAACUUUUCUGAGUACAGUAUUAAGAAGUUUUUAGUGACAAAUAGAGUAAUGCAUAUUGCAAUUAGCUAAGAACCUCAGACACAUAUAAAUGAUUAUGAAGACACUUUGGUGCUGGAGGUAUCAGUCUGUGUUCGCAACUUAAGAUACUGUGUUGGGCAAAGAUGGUGGAGAUAUUUUCUAUAAUUAUGUAGAGCUGGUCUCUCACCCCAAACCGCCAAAUUGUCUAUACCCAUCUUAUGCUUCAAGGAUGCCACUACAAUAUGGAAUUACACAACUUCAUACAUUUGUUAAAGCUGAGGCACUUCACUUGUACAUGGUACAUAUUCUUAUGAUGUAGGUGGUAUAAAUAUUUGUAUUGGACACCCACUGUCAUAGGAAAUCACCUCUUUUUGAUGAUAUUUUCCCAUGUUAAUUAAUUUUCACAAAAUCCUUUAAAGACUACAAAUUUUGUUACUUCAAUUUUUUGUUGCUUUCAAAUAACUUUCAUAUUUUCUCAUUAUACAAGUAUGUAGAUUGUGCACAUGCCCUAAUUCUUUCACAUAUUUCAUAGUACAAGCAAAUUGAAACUCGUUAAUAUAUCAGAUACAGUAUGUUCUGAGCAAAUAUGUGGGUAUUUGUCCCCAAGACAGAAUUGCAGUUGUGUAAGAUUUUUUUAUGCCAUCCUGCAUUCAUUUGGAAUAGCUAACAAAAUGUAACUACUAUAUAAUUAGAUGAACAUUCUGCCAAAAGUUAGCAAGCAUUCAAAUCUAGUUAAAUCUGUAAACUAUAACUUCAGAACAGUUGGACAUAAUUUUCAGGGUACAGUAUAUCAAUGUCACAAAAAAUCACUGUAAUUUGUAUAAUUCUGUCAGUGCUAUCGUAAGUAAUUUGUUCAAGUUAAUUGGAUCAUGGAUGAUAUUGGUUCUUUAAAACUACAGUAUAUAGAGUACACUUGUACUCUAAAUAAAUAAAUAUUCUUGAGAAGUAAAGUCUUUUCAAAUCAUGUUAUGGAAUUAUUUUUAGUUGAUUAUGACCUUACUUGUUGGACUACGUACAUUGUUAACUUGUACCAUAGUGUUGAGAACUUAUUUGAUAAGCUCUCUUUCUUUUUAUAAGAAUGAAGAGUGGAAAAGAAAAUGAAAUGCCUCAUAUAUUAAGUUUUUCAUUCUUGGAGCAUCUUACAUUGUUUGAAAUUUGCUUUAAUUAUUUUCGAUACUAUAUUUCACACCUGUUGGUAUUCUUUGAUUCUACACAUGAUAAAAUUUACAUGGGAUGGAUUUCUGCACUUAAAACUUGUUCUCGAGUUCAGUAUUACUGUACUGUACUUUUAUCUUUAUUAUAUAAUAUUUAUCAAACAUGUUCUAAUUUAAAAGAGAAAUUGUCUUGAAUUCGGCAUCCUUUUGUACCAUGAAUGAUAGGCUCCAAACAUGAUGCCAUACCAAUCACAAUAUAUGAGCAUCCUGUACAGUAUGUACUGUACAGUAUAGAGAAAUAACCAAUUUAUUUGUUUCUGUAUUACUGUGAAGGAUUUUGCACAAUACAUUGUACAGACAAUAGUGUUACAGUAUCCUGUACUCUAUUCUUUAAAUCCAUUAUGCAUGAUAAGUGUAGAACAAUUUCAGUUAGUUACUUUUAUUAAUAAUAUCAGGUACAAAAAUGUUUAUUUUUCAGUCAUGUACAAGAAAAAGAACACAAUACAGUACCGUAUUUGAUAAUGCCUGGUCUUAAGAUUUCACUUGCAUGAAGAAUGGGCUAUCAAGACUGACUGGACUUGUAUUUAAGCAUUUAAUUGUUUUGCCUCAUUUUUGUUAGCUCUUGAGACUGCAAGUAACAUCAGAAAUUUAUAAAAUUUGUACCCAGUUUUGUUCAAUGAACUUACAUGAGUUUUAGGCAUACAGUAUUUGUUUUGUUGUUCAAUAUUGCAAAAAUUUAUGGACAAUGUACAUUAGUUGUAGUCUUUUUUCACAAAAUAAUGAGACCCAAAUACUGUAGAAUAAAGGUACUGUACAGUAUUGUAUAGAUUUUUGUUCAGAUUUCCAUCAGGUGUUAUAUUUGCACUUCCUGAAACUGUACUUACUAUAUUAGAAGUGGUAAAUAAUUUUUAAAUGACAUUUAUUUUGGUGUAUUUUAUAAACAGGUAACUUAUUGGAAUAUUGUAUUGUUUUUUAAUGUUUAUUUCUGGUGACUUAUCAAUGACCCAUGAAUUGAAAGAUUUUUAAUGCACUUAUUAAAAAGAAUCCAAUAGAAAUUUUUAGGAUUGUCAAAACAAACUGAUAAUUUAGUUGAAUCAUUAAAAGUUUUCACAAGGGAAAGUGAACGAUUCUCAGUGACAGUGAACAUGUAUGUGCAAUAUUAGAGGGUAUAAUUACUCAGAUUUUAUUAUUCUUUCUUAAUUUCUUACAAAUGGUGAUUUUUACACCCUGCUGUCAAUCUUUCACAACCAAAUAACAUUUGUGGAUCUACCAGUUCUGUACUACUUUAGGAAUUUACUAAAUGUAGUAAAUCUCACAUUUUUCACAUUUGCAAGCCCUCUCCCCAAAUGCUGCAGGGUGGCAGGAGUCAAGGGCAACAUGCCAAAUGAGGAAAAGUCAGUUGCUUAUAAUUUCAUCCAUCCUGUGCCGUAGCAAGAAAGGUCUUACAAGAGUGAGAGAGAAUUAGUAAUUUGGGUAUGGUCCAAAGAAAUUAUGUCAUGAAUGAUAUCUAACUAAAAUAACCAUAAGCAGAAAGCUGCCUAAUGACCUUAAGUCCUCAAACAGUUAGACUAUAUAUACGAGUAUUAUAUACUUUGUUAUAAAAACAUUACCUGCUGAAAUAUUAAGAAGCACUGUUAUUUCAUUAUUUCUUUUUAUCUUAAAUUUUCAUUGGUUAUUUUUAUAGGUUUUACUUGUUAGAUUCUCAGUAAUUACUAGAAGUUGGCUAUGACCACCAUCUAUUGGUUAUCAGUAGUAAUGACUAGCCAAAUAAUCCUGGUAUUCUUUGAGCUUCAAUAUUAUUUCUGACUAGCAUAUUGGCAUGGAAAUGCAUCAUAAAUAAGUGAAUAUAUUAAAUUAAGCUCUUUAUUUUUUUUUAAUAUUGACUGAGCUUGUAUUAGGUGAAGUAUUCUCUUAUUUAUUUGAAUCAUGAUACUGUGCAUCAGUGAAUCUCAUAUCCAUGUUCUGUCAUAAUAUUUGGACAGUGCUUUAUGAUGAUAGCAUUAAUAAUUGUAAGCUUAUGAAGAAGAUUACAAUUAGUUACACUGACAAUUAUGAGUGAAACAAAAAGGCUUCAGGAAUAAAACUGGUUGUUGAUUGAUAAUGACAGCAAUGACAGAAUGAAAAAAUUGGUGUCUCAUGAGAGUAACCUCCUGUGUAACUCAGUGACUUGUAAAGAUAGUGCAUGUAAUAUAUACACUAAAUUCACUUAAGGAGCUUCCAGGAAUGCAUGCAUGCAAAACUUCUCAUAGCCCUACAUUCCAGCAACUGUGAUGUGAUUUGCUACACCAGUUUUAUUCCUUUCUGCUUUUAUGGGAUUCCCAGUUAGAUCAGCAAUUGUAUGCCUCACUGUAGAGAACUGGAGUUAUUUCUCUUCCAAUCUAGUGGGAUAUAAAUUUAUGAUGUAGUGCAUACAGUCAGAAUAGCUGGCAGUCAUAUUCUUGAAUGCUAUUCCAUGGCUGUACAAGUUUGUUACAGAAACUGCUAUACAUGUGAUGUCUUGUACAGUAUAACACAGGUUGUGUGCACCUGGUAUGGUUGGUUAUUAUUAAUAAAGAUAGUUUAGAAUG
This is a long non-coding RNA of Homarus americanus (American lobster), 6111 nucleotides long. RefSeq lists it as uncharacterized. The transcript is spliced from 4 exons. NCBI's taxonomy places the organism in Eukaryota, Metazoa, Arthropoda, Malacostraca, Decapoda, Nephropidae. The record is from RefSeq and is a predicted model, not a curated record.